CACAAGCGGUGGAGUAUGUGGUUUAAUUCGAUGCAACGCGAAGAACCUUACCUGGUCUUGACAUCCCGGAGACCCUUAGGAAACUAGGGGGUGCUUCCAUCUGGAAGAAUCUGGAGACAGGUGCUGCAUGGCUGUCGUCAGCUCGUGUCGUGAGAUGUUGGGUUAAGUCCCGCAACGAGCGCAACCCUUGCCUUUAGUUGCCAGCAGUUCGGCUGGGUACUCUAAAGGGACUGCCGGUGUUAAACCGGAGGAAGGUGGGGAUGACGUCAAGUCCUCAUGGCCUUUAUGACCAGGGCUACACACGUACUACAAUGGCCGAUACAAAGGGCAGCGACACUGCGAGGUGAAGCCAAUCCCGUAAAAUCGGUCUCAGUCCGGAUUGGAGUCUGCAACUCGACUCCAUGAAGUUGGAAUCGCUAGUAAUCGUGGAUCAGCAUGCCACGGUGAAUACGUUCCCGGGCCUU
RNAcentral lists this ribosomal RNA (464 nucleotides) under uncultured Desulfobulbus sp. RNAcentral describes it as "bacterial SSU rRNA". It matches the Rfam family "Bacterial small subunit ribosomal RNA", at positions 924 to 1382 of the family's 1533-position model. Lineage: Bacteria; Pseudomonadati; Thermodesulfobacteriota; Desulfobulbia; Desulfobulbales; Desulfobulbaceae. The record is from RNAcentral.